RNAcentral lists this ribosomal RNA (391 nucleotides) under Aoraki denticulata. RNAcentral describes it as "partial 16S ribosomal RNA". The stretch from base 252 to 391 matches the Rfam family "Bacterial large subunit ribosomal RNA", at positions 2473 to 2612 of the family's 2925-position model. The record is from RNAcentral. Lineage: Eukaryota; Metazoa; Arthropoda; Arachnida; Opiliones; Pettalidae.
GAAUGAAGGAAAAAAUGGUUUAAUCUGUCUUGAAUUAUUAAUUGAAUUUUAAUUUUUUGUAAAAAUGCAAAAAUUCUGUUUAGGGACAAGAAGACCCUAUAAAGCUUAUUUGGAUUCUUAUGUAGUUAAUUAUAUGGAUUCAAUUUGAUUGGGGCAAUAAUUUAUAUAUAAAAAAUAUAAAUAUUUUAAAUAUAAAAAAUCUUUAACUUAAUGAUCCAUUAUUAAUGAUAAUAUGGUUAAGUUACUUUAGGGAUAACAGGAUAAUUUUUAUUAAAAAGUUCUUAUUAAUAAUAAAGUUUAUUACCUCGAUGUUGAAUUAAUUUAAUUUGAUGGUGAAGCAACUAUUUGAAUUUGACUGUUCGUCAAUUAAAUAAUUACAUGAUCUGAGUUC